AAAGUUUUCCGAUUCAUUUUAAACAAAUGCCAGUUCUGAUGUUAAAUUUGAAUAGCAUUUAAAUGUAUUCUCUCUGCUCACUGCUAUUACAGUCUCCCAUGAAUAAGUCUUUGAACCAUGCCCUGCUGCAUAAGUCAUCAGGGAAAGCAGUUGUAUGUUACAUUUUCCCAGUUAUUGCUUAAAAUUCUAUUUUUGCUAGUUAAAAUAGUACCAGCUUUAAAACUAACCUCUUUGACUAAAGUAAAACCUGUUUACCAUUUUAAUGGAAAUGCACCAUUUAUGAAGUGAAAGUGAUUUGUAACCCCUGAGUCUGCCUGAUGCCCAGUUGGUGGCAGCAACUUUCAGCACCUCACUAAUAUUUCCUCUAGUUAAAAGGCACUUUAAGCUCAUCAGUGUCGGUGUGCGCUGGCCUAAUCUCUCUUACAAAUACUGCCUUCUUGUCUUUCUCUGAGGUGACAGGUGGCUACAGGAUUCGCCUUCAUGUUCUUGUCUUGAAUCUUUCAUUUCCCCAAAAUCUUCUCCUACCAUUGCUUCAGGGAAAGACUCAACAUUUAUUGAAGGCAGAUGCAGUCACAUGACAAAGGAAGUGUCAUUGUGAAAAUUGGAUUAAUCAGAAAAGACUUCAAAGUGAAAGUCUACCAGGGCUCAGCCAACUGUGGACCAAGCUUCCUGUUUUUUAUAAAUAAAGUUUUAUUGAAUCAAA
This is a long non-coding RNA of Myotis brandtii (Brandt's bat), 703 nucleotides long. RefSeq lists it as uncharacterized. The transcript has 2 exons. Lineage: Eukaryota; Metazoa; Chordata; Mammalia; Chiroptera; Vespertilionidae. The record is from RefSeq and is a predicted model, not a curated record.